AUCUUUUGAAGAGUCAACAGUGAGUGGAGGUUUUGGUUCAGAAUCAAAAAAAAUUGUUCCACGGUUACAAAUUGUCAUACUUGUAGUUGGAACAAGAGGUGACGUACAACCUUUUGUGGCUAUAGCAAAGAGACUUCAGGCAUGUUUGGAUAUUUCCAUUCAAUUCAUUUUGAUGCACACAGCACGUGAGAAUUUCCAUUAAAUCAUCAUAACCUUUGUUAUUGCUUUCUUGCCUUUUGUACGGUGUAGGUCUCCAUAAUAUCUUCAUAUUUGCUUCAAUGUGAGCCUAAAAUGUGACAUUACUUUUCGUGGAGAUCACAUCAUAUAAUAUUUCCUUUUAUUAGUUUUGUUCUGAAAGGCUUUGUAAAAACUUACGUAUUAGUAUAUUAUCAUCUUGCUAAUUUAUCAUAUUGGCAUUAGUGAAUACAACUUGUCAUUGUAAUUCUAGAUUAGAUUUCUUAUAUUUGGGAAGGAAUUAUUCUGGUCCUAUUCACUCUGAGUUUAAAAUCCCUAGGUUUUUCCAAGUUAUCUGAUUACUGUUGGACGAUUUGCUCUGCUGAUCUAUCUGAAAAUAUGCAAUGAUGUGGUUUUUAAAUACUGUUGAUGUAUCUUGCGUCCCAACAGUCAGUUUUGUUGCAUUUAUUCUUUCUUUCAUAGAUGAACUAAUUUUUACUUGCAGGAGUAUGGUCAUCAUGUUAGGCUGGCAACUCAUGCUAAUUUCAAAACAUUUGUAAAGUCAGCUGGAGUAGAUUUCUAUCCUCUGGGUGGUGAUCCUCGUGUUUUGGCAGGAUGUAAGAGGUCCCUUUUUAAUAUUAAGUCAUUUAUUCUCAGUCUACUUGUACUUUUUAUAAUACUUAUCAGGUAGCUGUAUGUAAGACCUUGCUUUUAUACUUCAAGUUGUUAAUGUAUGAUACAUUAUCUAAAUUUCCAAGUGUUAAGCUCAACAAUGCAAAAUAGAUACUCUAACGUAUCUUGCUUGCCUAUAACUGUAUAUGAACCUAAAGCAUAUCUAAAAUAGAUAAGGAUGUAUUAUAUAUCCUAGCUAUAAUAACUACCAAGGA
This 1061-nucleotide long non-coding RNA is filed under the name Vigna radiata. RNAcentral's name for it is "long non-coding RNA (VRAD_LNC009298)". Lineage: Eukaryota; Viridiplantae; Streptophyta; Magnoliopsida; Fabales; Fabaceae. The record is from RNAcentral.